UUUGGAGAAUCUCCAGGAGAUGAAGUUGUGAAGUCAGACACUUGAAUGUUUACACAGUUAUCAAACUUGAGGUGGGUCUGAGGGCUGUUCUGUAUGGUUAUUCCAUUAACCAUUACACCGUUACUCCCGUAGAAUCUCAACGCCUACAUACCAGCCAAGGAAGGAGACAGGUCCAACAAGGAACGUAGAACCGGAUGGAACUAAUAAUGUCGAUGCUGCCACUUUACAAGCUUCAUUCCAAGCAUCUUCAAAAGCCUGCAAUAUCAAAGUCGAGGACAUUGAACGUUCCGGAACUUCCCCCUUCAGCGAUAGACCUAUGGUUUGCUCUCCAGUAUACACUGUGUCUAGCGUCACAAGAGAUUAAAAGGAGAAGUUUCAGGGCAAGACAUUUCAAGGUACUGAGCUGGUCUUGGUAAGCUCUUCGGUUAACACAAAAACGAAAAUCUAUUUAUCAGGCAAAGGAGUUUGAGUCAAGAAAAGUUGCCAUACAAUCACAGGCAUGUCACGUAAACCUCAUCAUCAUAAGAUAAUCUUUUUUAUUUUGAGUUCCUUAAAUUAAGCAGCGUAAUUUAGGUUAAAUCUGUGGUGUUCAUUGAAUCUUCUCAAAUGCUAUAUAAAAUCUAUUUAUCAUUUUUUCUUCGAACUCAUGAACAUUCAAAGGUCCAUAUUAGUUGCAUUGCAUGAGAAUAGGAUGCUCAGUACGGUUUGAUUAUGGUAUAUUAGUAAGAUUCAAAGUUAUGUAUUGAACUCGUGAUGAAGAUACACUUUGC
This is a long non-coding RNA of Brassica oleracea var. oleracea, 770 nucleotides long. RefSeq lists it as uncharacterized. NCBI's taxonomy places the organism in Eukaryota, Viridiplantae, Streptophyta, Magnoliopsida, Brassicales, Brassicaceae. The transcript is spliced from 4 exons. The record is from RefSeq and is a predicted model, not a curated record.